RNAcentral lists this ribosomal RNA (255 nucleotides) under uncultured bacterium. RNAcentral describes it as "partial 16S ribosomal RNA". It matches the Rfam family "Bacterial small subunit ribosomal RNA", at positions 524 to 776 of the family's 1533-position model. The record is from RNAcentral.
UACGUAGGGCGCGAGCGUUGUCCGGAAUUAUUGGGCGUAAAGAGCUCGUAGGCGGUUUGUCGCGUCGGUUGUGAAAACCCAAGGCUCAACCUUGGGCCUGCAAUCGAUACGGGCAGACUAGAGUACUGCAGGGGAGACUGGAAUUCCUGGUGUAGCGGUGGAAUGCGCAGAUAUCAGGAGGAACACCGGUGGCGAAGGCGGGUCUCUGGGCAGUAACUGACGCUGGAGGAGCGAAAGCCGUGGGGAGCGAACAGG